GGUUCUGAUCAAGGAAGCCAAGUGUUGUAGGUAGAAAAUUAAUUACCUGUUAAUUAUCUGAGAGCUUCCUGUGUGCACACAGCAUUGUGCCAGGCAUUUCAGGUUUCUAAAGAAAUAUCAAAAGUGACCUCUAAUAAAAGCCUACCAAGAAAGGUGAGAUUGAGAAGACUUCUUCUGGAAGCAAGCUUUGAAUUGAGUUUUGAGGAGUGAGUGGACUUGAAAUGGAAGGCAGAAUAAUCAGCUGAGGGUGGGGGGAGCUGUGAGGCUGCAGGCCUGCAGGCACAGAGGCAGAGUGAUGUGAUUUAAAGGAGGUCCUUGCAAACCAGGCAGAGACCCACUUCAGGAAGGUCAUCUGGAGGCUGCAUAACGGUAACUAAGCCAAGAGGGGAAGCAGGAGGGCAAUGACACAAAACCGGUAACAACAGAAGGGCACGAACCAUCUGGAUGUACUUCAUUGGUGGUGGUGGGAAGCAAUCUUGGA
This is a long non-coding RNA of Bubalus bubalis (water buffalo), 481 nucleotides long. RefSeq lists it as uncharacterized. The transcript has 2 exons. Lineage: Eukaryota; Metazoa; Chordata; Mammalia; Artiodactyla; Bovidae. The record is from RefSeq and is a predicted model, not a curated record.